GACGAACGCUGGCGGCGUGCUUAACACAUGCAAGUCGAACGGAAAGGCCCUGCUUGCAGGGUACUCGAGUGGCGAACGGGUGAGUAACACGUGGGUGAUCUGCCCUGCACUUCGGGAUAAGCUUGGGAAACUGGGUCUAAUACCGGAUAGGAACCAUCUUUAGUGUGGUGGUUGGAAAGUUUUUUCGGUGUAGGAUGAGCUCGCGGCCUAUCAGCUUGUUGGUGGGGUAAUGGCCUACCAAGGCGGCGACGGGUAGCCGGCCUGAGAGGGUGUACGGCCAGGUGGGGACAAGGAUCCGCGCCAGACUGGUGGGGGGGGGAGUGGUGGGAAAUGUGGAACGAGGGGAGCGAGCUGGAGGCGGCGCGGCGGGGGGGGGGAGGAAGGCCGUGGUGUGUUAAACUCCUGUGGCUAGGGAGGAGGUUUUGUGGUGACGGUACCUAGAAAAGAACCGCCGGCUAACGACGUGCCAGCAGCGGGGGUAUUAGUCGCAAGGCAUACGUCUGAGC
RNAcentral lists this ribosomal RNA (506 nucleotides) under uncultured bacterium. Its description in RNAcentral is "partial 16S ribosomal RNA". It matches the Rfam family "Bacterial small subunit ribosomal RNA", at positions 33 to 541 of the family's 1533-position model. The record is from RNAcentral.